GUGUGCAGAGCAGAGUCCGGACGUCUUCAUGUGUGUCCUCUGUGUCUCCAGGUGUCCCUCGGCACCAGCGACACGCUCUUCCUGUGGAUCCGGCGGCCUCGCCCGGCGCCGGAGGGGCACAUCUUCUGCAACCCCGUCGACCGGCGGGCCUACAUGGCUCUGCUGUGCUUCAAGAACGGCUCUCUGACGAGGGAACGCAUCAGGAACGAGUGUGCUGGAGGAUCAUGGGAAGGGUUUUCUGCCGCCUUGAGGGACACACCGCUGGGAAACAACGGGAACAUAGGCUUUUAUUUUGACACCAUGGAGAUCACACCUCCUGCAGUAGGAGUUCACCUCUUUGAUUCAGACGACAACAAGGUG
Micropterus dolomieu (smallmouth bass) is the source of this 360-nucleotide long non-coding RNA. RefSeq lists it as uncharacterized. The transcript has 3 exons. The record is from RefSeq and is a predicted model, not a curated record. Lineage: Eukaryota; Metazoa; Chordata; Actinopteri; Centrarchiformes; Centrarchidae.